This 370-nucleotide RNase P RNA is filed under the name Alphaproteobacteria bacterium. Its description in RNAcentral is "RNase P RNA component class A". It matches the Rfam family "Bacterial RNase P class A". Rfam says of the family: Ribonuclease P (RNase P) is a ubiquitous endoribonuclease, found in archaea, bacteria and eukarya as well as chloroplasts and mitochondria. Lineage: Bacteria; Pseudomonadati; Pseudomonadota; Alphaproteobacteria. The record is from RNAcentral.
CCAGAGAGCCGGGUAAUCGCAUGCUUAAAGCGUGAGGAAAGUCCGGGCUCCAUGAAAAUACGGUGCCGGAUAACAUCCGGCGGGGGCGACCCCAGGGAAAGUGCCACAGAAAAUAUACCGCCGCAGAAAUGCGGUAAGGGUGAAAAGGUGCGGUAAGAGCGCACCGCGUUGCUGGCAACAGGAACGGCACGGAAAACCCCACCGGGAGCAAGGCCAAAUAGGGAAAGCGACGCAACUUCGGUUGCAGGGAAUAUUUUCAGUCCCGCUUUCCGGGUAGGUCGCAUGAGGCGAUGAGCGAUCAUCGUCCCAGAUGAAUGAUUGCCCCGUUCGCAAGAACGGACAGAACCCGGCUUACAGGCUCUCUGGUUUU